GCAUAUCAAUAAGCGGAGGAAAAGAAACCAACAGGGAUUACCUUAGUAACGGCGAGUGAAGCGGUAAAAGCUCAAAUUUGAAAUCUAGCGUCUUUGGCGUUCGAGUUGUAAUUUGAAGAUGGUAAUCUUGGAUAUAGUCUUCGGCUAUGUUCCUUGGAACAGGACGUCACAGAGGGUGAGAAUCCCGUGUGCUGAGGUGCCUAUAUCCAUGUAAGAUGCUAUCGAAGAGUCGAGUUGUUUGGGAAUGCAGCUCUAAGUGGGUGGUAAAUUCCAUCUAAAGCUAAAUAUUGGCGAGAGACCGAUAGCGAACAAGUACAGUGAUGGAAAGAUGAAAAGAACUUUGAAAAGAGAGUGAAAAAGUACGUGAAAUUGUUGAAAGGGAAGGGCAUGAGGUCAGACUUGGUAUUAAGCGAUCAUUUCCUCUCGGGGUUGUGCUCUCGCUUUUUACUGGGCCAGCAUCAGUUUGGACGGUAAGAUAAUGACAUUGGAAUGUGGCUUUCUUCGGGAAGUGUUAUAGCCCUUGUUGAUGUUACCAGUCUGGACUGAGGACCGCGCAUUAUUGCUAGGAUGCUGGCGUAAUGGCCUUAUGCCGCCCGUCUUGAAACACGGACCAAGGAGUCUAACGUCUAUGCAAGUGUUUGGGUGUAAAACCCGUACGCGUAAUGAAAGUGAACGUAGGUCUGAGCCUUCGGGUGCAAGAUCGACCGAUCCUGAUGUCUUCGGAUGGAUUUGAGUAAGAGCAUAGCUGUUGGGACCCGAAAGAUGGUGAACUAUGCCUGAAUAGGGUGAAGCCAGAGGAAACUCUGGUGGAGGCUCGUAGCGGUUCUGACGUGCAAAUCGAUCGUCGAAUUUGGGUAUAGGGGCGAAAGACUAAUCGAACCAUCUAGUAGCUGGUUCCUGCCGA
This 904-nucleotide ribosomal RNA is filed under the name Nadsonia starkeyi-henricii. RNAcentral describes it as "LSU rRNA". It matches the Rfam family "Eukaryotic large subunit ribosomal RNA", at positions 38 to 964 of the family's 3401-position model. The record is from RNAcentral. Lineage: Eukaryota; Fungi; Ascomycota; Dipodascomycetes; Dipodascales.